This 485-nucleotide ribosomal RNA is filed under the name uncultured bacterium. Its description in RNAcentral is "partial 16S ribosomal RNA". It matches the Rfam family "Bacterial small subunit ribosomal RNA", at positions 28 to 523 of the family's 1533-position model. The record is from RNAcentral.
GAUGAACGCUGGCGGCGUGCUUAACACAUGCAAGUCGAACGGUGAACACGGAGCUUGCUCUGUGGGAUCAGUGGCGAACGGGUGAGUAACACGUGAGCAACUUGCCCCUGACUCUGGGAUAAGCGCUGGAAACGGCGUCUAAUACUGGAUACGAGUAGCGGCCGCAUGGUCAGUUACUGGAAAGAUUUUUUGGUUGGGGAUGGGCUCGCGGCCUAUCAGCUUGUUGGUGAGGUAAUGGCUCACCAAGGCGUCGACGGGUAGCCGGCCUGAGAGGGUGACCGGCCACGCUGGGACUGAGACACGGCCCAGACUCCUACGGGAGGCAGCAGUGGGGAAUAUUGCACAAUGGGCGAAAGCCUGAUGCAGCAACGCCGCGUGAGGGAUGACGGCCUUCGGGUUGUAAACCUCUUUUAGCAGGGAAGAAGCGAAAGUGACGGUACCUGCAGAAAAAGCGCCGGCUAACUACGUGCCAGCCGCCGCCGUAA